This 64-nucleotide transfer RNA is filed under the name Vargula hilgendorfii (sea firefly). RNAcentral describes it as "tRNA-Cys". It matches the Rfam family "tRNA". Rfam says of the family: Transfer RNA (tRNA) molecules are approximately 80 nucleotides in length. Lineage: Eukaryota; Metazoa; Arthropoda; Ostracoda; Myodocopida; Cypridinidae. The record is from RNAcentral.
GGCUUUAUAGUUUAAAUUGUAAAAUGUUAGGCUGCAAUCCUAAAGUUGCUUUCAGCUAAAGCUU